AUCCUGGCUCAGGACGAACGCUGGCGGCGUGCUUAACACAUGCAAGUCGAACGGUGAUGUCAGAGCUUGCUCUGGCGGAUCAGUGGCGAACGGGUGAGUAACACGUGAGUAACCUGCCCCCGACUCUGGGAUAACUGCUAGAAAUGGUAGCUAAUACCGGAUAUGACGACUGGCCGCAUGGUCUGGUCGUGGAAAGAAUUUCGGUUGGGGAUGGACUCGCGGCCUAUCAGGUUGUUGGUGAGGUAAUGGCUCACCAAGCCUACGACGGGUAGCCGGCCUGAGAGGGUGACCGGCCACACUGGGACUGAGACACGGCCCAGACUCCUACGGGAGGCAGCAGUGGGGAAUAUUGCACAAUGGGCGAAAGCCUGAUGCAGCAACGCCGCGUGAGGGAUGACGGCCUUCGGGUUGUAAACCUCUUUUAGUAGGGAAGAAGCGAAAGUGACGGUACCUGCAGAAA
Molecule: ribosomal RNA, 460 nt
Filed under: Clavibacter sp. 028-4.1-CV-A-28
Lineage: Bacteria; Bacillati; Actinomycetota; Actinomycetes; Micrococcales; Microbacteriaceae
Description: bacterial SSU rRNA
Rfam family: Bacterial small subunit ribosomal RNA
Source: RNAcentral